AACGAACGCUGGCGGCGUGCCUAACACAUGCAAGUCGAGCGCGAAUGGAGCAAUCCUAGUAGAGCGGCGCACGGGUGCGUAACACGUGGGUAAUCUGCCCAAAAGACCGGGAUAACCUGCCGAAGGCAAGCUAAUACCGGAUAAGCCUACAGACUCUUCGGAGUUCGAAGGAAAGGUGGCCUCUGUAUACAAGCUAUCACUUUUGGAUGAGCCCGCGGCCCAUCAGCUAGUUGGCGGGGUAAUGGCCCACCAAGGCUACGACGGGUAGCUGGUCUGAGAGGACGAUCAGCCACACUGGAACUGAGACACGGUCCAGACUCCUACGGGAGGCAGCAGUGGGGAAUUUUGCGCAAUGGGCGAAAGCCUGACGCAGCAACGCCGCGUGNGUGAUGAAGGUCUUCGGAUUGUAAAGCACUUUCGACC
Molecule: ribosomal RNA, 423 nt
Filed under: uncultured bacterium
Lineage: Bacteria
Description: bacterial SSU rRNA
Rfam family: Bacterial small subunit ribosomal RNA
Source: RNAcentral